GACGAACGCUGGCGGCGUGCUUAACACAUGCAAGUCGAACGGAAAGGCCCUGCUUUUGUGGGGUGCUCGAGUGGCGAACGGGUGAGUAACACGUGAGUAACCUGCCCUUGACUUUGGGAUAACUUCAGGAAACUGGGGCUAAUACCGGAUCGGAGCUCCUGCUGCAUGGUGGGGGUUGGAAAGUUUCGGCGGUUGGGGAUGGACUCGCGGCUUAUCAGCUUGUUGGUGGGGUAGUGGCUUACCAAGGCUUUGACGGGUAGCCGGACUGAGAGGGUGACCGGCCACAGUGGGACGGAGAUACAGCCCAGACUCCUACGGGAGGCAGCAGUGGGGAAUAUUGCACAAUGGGCGGAAGCCUGAUGCAGCAACGCCGCGUGCGGGAUGACGGCCUUCGGGUUGUAAACCGCUUUCGCCUGUGACGAAGCGUGAGUGACGGUAAUGGGUAAAGAAGCACCGGCUAACUACGUG
RNAcentral lists this ribosomal RNA (468 nucleotides) under uncultured bacterium. Its description in RNAcentral is "partial 16S ribosomal RNA". It matches the Rfam family "Bacterial small subunit ribosomal RNA", at positions 28 to 507 of the family's 1533-position model. The record is from RNAcentral.